Molecule: long non-coding RNA, 869 nt
Organism: Heterocephalus glaber (naked mole-rat)
Lineage: Eukaryota; Metazoa; Chordata; Mammalia; Rodentia; Bathyergidae
Source: Ensembl
CUGAUCUGUUACCUUCUCACAAAAAUAGGCCAUAUUUGUGAUUUAUGUGAUAAGAAGCCACAAGGUUCUCGAGGUUUCAGAUGUAGCUCGGAUGAGAUGACAAUGAACUACAGAAAGAAGAGUCCAGAUAGAAUUGCCUUGGGAAAGGUGUUUGGAGCUGGGAACAAGAUGCUCUGAAUUUGAGUUCUGUUUCAUGAAUGAAUUAGCAGAAAGGCCUUGGGGAAUUUUAAGUUGCCCAUUUACUUAAUAGGCACUAUGUCCUCGACAUUGUAGUUUGUGCUGUUGGAGCUACAAAGACAUCCAAGACAUGAAUCCUAAGGACUUGCUACCUAGUAGGAAAGAAAGAACAUUCACAAAACAAACAGGUCACCAAAUGUAUUUUCUUGGUGGAUAUCCACAGUAGCUCAAGAACUGCAAUAAACCCUGAUAUUAACAACUGAAAGGCCAGGGAUUUAGCUCAGCGGUUCCGGCACCUGCCUUGCAAGCCCAAGGUCCCAAGUUUGAUCCCUGGUACCAAAAAAAAAUUGAAAAUAUUUUAACAUCUGGUUUAUCUGCAAUACUGUAAGCAUUUUGUUAUUAAUUAGAAUUAAUUCUAUCUGCUUUGGUUAAUGAUCUCCUUUGAAAGAUUUAUAAGCUUUCCUUUGGACAAAUAGCAACUUAUUUUGAUAAAGCACAAUCCUUAGUUUUCAAUAUUAAGCUACAUCCUUUAAAAUGGCUAUUAAUACUAAAGAAUAGAGGCUGUUAGUAGGAGACAUGUACAAUGUCAAAGGAAUGCACAUGCCAGUCAUGACUAAUACUAUUUCAGAGGAAAUUUCUAACAAAAAGGAGAUUUUUCCAUGUAAUAAGGCAUUUAUUUUAAUCAACAGAAG